Molecule: ribosomal RNA, 253 nt
Filed under: uncultured bacterium
Lineage: Bacteria
Description: partial 16S ribosomal RNA
Rfam family: Bacterial small subunit ribosomal RNA
Source: RNAcentral
UACAGAGGGUGCAAGCGUUGCUCGGAAUCACUGGGCGUAAAGCGCACGUAGGCGGCUUUCUAAGUCAGGGGUGAAAUCCUGGAGCUCAACUCCAGAACUGCCUUUGAUACUGGAGAGCUAGAGUCCGGAAGAGGUGAGUGGAACUGCGAGUGUAGAGGUGAAAUUCGUAGAUAUUCGCAAGAACACCAGUGGCGAAGGCGGCUCACUGGACACAUAUUGACGCUGAGGUGCGAAAGCGUGGGGAGCAAACAGG